AGUUAGGUAUGUUAAUACAAAAGUGUCCACAAUUCUGAAUCAGCAAUGGUAUUUUUUUAAUAACUAAAUAAUCAUUGGUCCCAUGUGCGUCCCGUGCUCCUUGAGCCUUUUGUUUUCCUUCCCUUGUUCAAAGAUGGAGACGUCUAUGAUUAACAAGCUCCGAUGGUCAAUAAAACGUUGUAGGGUCAAUAGAAAGGUAUCGGAAUCAUUGGAAUUCUUCUUUCGAAGUUCGGAAAAUCAAAGAAUAGCGGAUAACUAUAAAAAGAACAGGUCUAACAUUACCAUUACAAUGAGCAAUUAAAUACAACUAAGGCAUCAAGCCAUUAAAAAGAGAUAGAAUUUGCAAGCAAAAUCUGGUACAAAAUUUUAUUUACAUCAUCAACAACUAUACAUUACAAUAACAAUAAAAAAUACAACCAAGCCUUUAAAACUAGGUUAAAAUAAUUAAUUUUUUUUUAUAUAUAAAAAAGAAACUUUUUCUGUACAAUGGGGGAAAGAAGGUUUUGAAAUCCAGAGCAGAGCAGAGAAGGAGGCGAUGUCAGGCUUCGGAAGUGUAGCCACUUGGAACAACUGGGGUUGUGGAGGUUGAGCUGAGAGGAGCGGCGUCCUUCUUCUUCCGACGACCGGAACACGACAACGCCGCCGCGACGCUCUUGAACACCAUCAUCUUGAUUCGACCUCUCCUCGGCUGAACCAUUUGAGUGCCUCUUGGUGGAUCCAUGGGAUCGAAACAGAAUUUUUGGGGGAUAAAGAAAAGGAAGAAGCUUUCUGAGUGGCUGCAGAUUGCAUAGUGAAGCGGGAUUUUAGAGUGACGUUUUAUAGAAGAGGUUAGAGCUUGUCGCUGACACUGUAGAAGUCUUGUGGCUCAAGUUUCGUCUUUUUUUCUUUUAAUUUGAUUAUUUGAUUAUUGAUUAUGGGAUUUCGGCUUCUGUGGCAUAUUUUGCUGUUUUUGAAUUCACAUUUGGCAUCCGGAC
Molecule: long non-coding RNA, 974 nt
Filed under: Glycine max (soybean)
Lineage: Eukaryota; Viridiplantae; Streptophyta; Magnoliopsida; Fabales; Fabaceae
Description: long non-coding RNA (GMAX_LNC003334)
Source: RNAcentral